UGGGGAAUUUUUCGCAAUGGGGGCAACCCUGACGAAGCAACGCCGCGUGGGUGAUGAAGUCUCUUGGGACGUAAAACCCUUUCGACGGGGAAGAAACCGCAAGGUUGACGGUACCCGUAGAAGAAGCCCCGGCUAACUCCGUGCCAGCAGCCGCGGUAAUACGGGGGGGGCAAGCGUUGUUCGGAAUUACUGGGCGUAAAGGGCGCGUAGGCGGUGCUCUAAGUCGGAUGUGAAAACUCUGGGCUUAACCCAGAGCCUGCAUCCGAAACUGGAGUGCUAGAGUUCUGGAGGGGAUAGCGGAAUUCCUGGUGUAGCGGUGAAAUGCGUAGAUAUCAGGAGGAACACCGGUGGCGAAGGCGGCUAUCUGGACAGAGGCUGACGCUGAGGCGCGAAAGCUAGGGGAGCAAACAG
Molecule: ribosomal RNA, 411 nt
Filed under: uncultured bacterium
Lineage: Bacteria
Description: bacterial SSU rRNA
Rfam family: Bacterial small subunit ribosomal RNA
Source: RNAcentral